AAAAGGAAAUGCUUGCAGAUAGUUAUGAUUCCUUUUGGGAUUUUUCUGCACUUACAUUUCACAGCAGAAUGCUGAUCUAGGGCCCCAACUUGUGCCCAUUGAAGGGAAUAGGAGUUUUGCCAUUGACUUCAAUAGGAGCAGUCCCUUAACAAUCACUGGAAACUAGUACUGAAUCAUAAAUACCCCAUUAUUUGUGUUCAGAUCAUCAAGUUAAUUUGGGGGUAACACUACAAACUCGAGGUGAGAUUGGCAGCAUCCUCUGAGUUGGAGAAGCUUAAUCACCCAUAGAAGUCUAUAUAUUAAAUUAAAAAAAUGAAGGGCUACUCUUACUCAUGCUGAAGAGUGCCUUACUCUGCAAAUAGUCCUAUUGAGCUCAAUGGGGGUACACAAAUAGUAAUUACUACUCGACAUGAGUAGUGGCAGAAUCUGUUCCUAAAAUGUAGAUAAAAAGGCAUCUGUUAGCGUUAUUAACACCUUUAAAUUAAACCUCACGUUAAUCAUAAUCAAUAAUAUGGGUCAAUGUAAGAACCAGUUUCUGAUCCACUUGCUAAUACUUAAUAGAGCCUUAUUCCACAACUGGUGUCUUUGCCUUUAAAGGGACUAUUUGUGGAGUAAUGUGCUAUGCAGUCUGAGUAAGAGAAAUUGGAUUUUGGUCUUACAUGAACAAUUACAAUUCAUAUUUCCAUGGGCAGAAACAAACAACUUCUGGGUUAUAUAGCUUUUUUUUUUUUUUUUUUUUGGAGGUACAAUGAAUUUGUGUUAAUUCUUAAUGGGGUUUUGUAUUUAAACACUUUGAAAACCAUAAAUUAAUGAUGGGUUGAAGAUAUAUAUGUAUAUGUAUAUAUGUGUAUUAUAUAUAUCUACUAUAUAUAUAUACACACACACACACACACACACACAUACACACACACAAACACAUACACACCAGUAUAGAUAUACAUAUAUAUAAAUUAUGAAAGCCAAGAUAUUAUGAAGCCUAUUUUGUUUUUAUCAUUUUGUGUUUUGUUGUUGAUGUUAUUAUUAUUAUUAUUUUGCAUAUUACAUGCAGUGCUUUAACCAAUGUCUGUUUGGCUAAUGUAAUUAAAGUUGUUAAUUUAUAUGAGUACAUUUCAACUAUGUCAAUGGUUUCUUAAUAUUUAUUGUGUAGAAGGACUGUUUUUUAAAUUUACAAUAUGUUUAAAGAGGUAACAGUUUGAUAUGUUCUCAUUUGUUUAUAUUAGAAGUUAUUUAUUUUCAUGGCAUUCCAUCUGAUAUUUUGAUAUUUGAAGGCAUGCUACCUAUACUUUGUACAGUUAGUGGGCAGUAUUCAUCAGCUCCCAGUAGAUUCUUACGCCUUACAUUAAAUAAAAGACCUGUUCGGGGAUUUUUAUUUUAAAUC
RNAcentral lists this long non-coding RNA (1378 nucleotides) under Chrysemys picta bellii (western painted turtle). RNAcentral's name for it is "lncRNA (ENSCPBG00000024893.1)". Lineage: Eukaryota; Metazoa; Chordata; Testudines; Emydidae. The record is from RNAcentral.